UACGUAGGGUCCGAGCGUUGUCCGGAGUUACUGGGCGUAAAGCGCGCGCAGGCGGCGGCGCAAGCCUGGCGUGAAAGCCCCCGGCUCAACCGGGGAGGGUCGUCGGGGACUGCGUCGCUUGAGGACGGCAGGGGCCGGUGGAAUGCCCGGUGUAGUGGUGAAAUGCGUAGAGAUCGGGCAGAACACCCGUGGCGAAGGCGGCCGGCUGGGCCGUUCCUGACGCUGAGGCGCGAAGGCGUGGGGAGCGAACGGG
This 253-nucleotide ribosomal RNA is filed under the name uncultured bacterium. RNAcentral's name for it is "partial 16S ribosomal RNA". It matches the Rfam family "Bacterial small subunit ribosomal RNA", at positions 524 to 776 of the family's 1533-position model. The record is from RNAcentral.